This 75-nucleotide transfer RNA is filed under the name Citrobacter freundii. Its description in RNAcentral is "tRNA-Gln". It matches the Rfam family "tRNA". From Rfam's summary of the family: Transfer RNA (tRNA) molecules are approximately 80 nucleotides in length. Their secondary structure includes four short double-helical elements and three loops (D, anti-codon, and T loops). Further hydrogen bonds mediate the characteristic L-shaped molecular structure. tRNAs have two regions of fundamental functional importance: the anti-codon, which is responsible for specific mRNA codon recognition, and the 3' end, to which the tRNAs corresponding amino acid is attached (by aminoacyl-tRNA synthetases). tRNAs cope with the degeneracy of the genetic code in two manners: having more than one tRNA (with a specific anti-codon) for a particular amino acid; and 'wobble' base-pairing, i.e. permitting non-standard base-pairing at the 3rd anti-codon position. Lineage: Bacteria; Pseudomonadati; Pseudomonadota; Gammaproteobacteria; Enterobacterales; Enterobacteriaceae. The record is from RNAcentral.
UACCGGGUAGUGUAAAGGCAACACAUAGGAUUCUGGCUCCUAUAAAUGCGGGUUCGAAUCCUGCCCUGGUAACAA